This 807-nucleotide ribosomal RNA is filed under the name uncultured bacterium. RNAcentral's name for it is "bacterial SSU rRNA". It matches the Rfam family "Bacterial small subunit ribosomal RNA", at positions 8 to 796 of the family's 1533-position model. The record is from RNAcentral.
AGAGUUUGAUCCUGGCUCAGAACGAACGCUGGCGGCGUGGAUAAGACAUGCAAGUCGAGCGGGAUUUUUUCCUAGCAAUACAGGGAAAAGUCUAGCGGCGAACGGGUGCUUAACACGUGGGCAACCUGCCAAGAAGUGGGGGAUAGCUCGCCGAAAGGCGAAUUAAUACCGCAUGUGAUCAGAGUGGACAUCCAUUCAAAAUCAAAGUCGGGGCAACCUGACGCUUCUUGAGGGGCCCGCGGCCUAUCAGCUAGUUGGUGGGGUAACGGCCCACCAAGGCUUAGACGGGUAGCUGGUCUGAGAGGACGACCAGCCACACUGGGACUGAGACACGGCCCAGACACCUACGGGUGGCAGCAGUCGAGAAUUUUUCUCAAUGGGGGAAACCCUGAAGGAGCGACGCCGCGUGGAGGAUGAAGGUCUUCGGAUUGUAAACUCCUGUCAUUGGGGAACAAUGCGCAAAUAUUAACUGUAUUUGCGUUGAUAGUACCCGAAGAGGAAGAGACGGCUAACUCUGUGCCAGCAGCCGCGGUAAUACAGAGGUCUCAAGCGUUGUUCGGAUUCAUUGGGCGUAAAGGGUGCGUAGGCGGCGCGGUAAGUCGGGUGUGAAAUCUCGGAGCUUAACUCCGAAACUGCAUUCGAUACUGCCGUGCUUGAGGACUGGAGAGGAGACUGGAAUUUACGGUGUAGCGGUGAAAUGCGUAGAUAUCGUAAGGAAGACCAGUGGCGAAGGCGGGUCUCUGGACAGUUCCUGACGCUGAUGCACGAAGCCAGGGGAGCAAACGGGAUUAGAUACCCUAGUAGUCC